UCUAGCUACAGGCUUAACACAUGCAAGUCGAGGGGCAGCAUGGUCUUAGCUUGCUAAGGCCGAUGGCGACCGGCGCACGGGUGAGUAACACGUAUCCAACCUGCCGUCUACUCUUGGACAGCCUUCUGAAAGGAAGAUUAAUACAAGAUGGCAUCAUGAGUCCGCAUGUUCACAUGAUUAAAGGUAUUCCGGUAGACGAUGGGGAUGCGUUCCAUUAGAUAGUAGGCGGGGUAACGGCCCACCUAGUCUUCGAUGGAUAGGGGUUCUGAGAGGAAGGUCCCCCACAUUGGAACUGAGACACGGUCCAAACUCCUACGGGAGGCAGCAGUGAGGAAUAUUGGUCAAUGGGCGAGAGCCUGAACCAGCCAAGUAGCGUGAAGGAUGACUGCCCUAUGGGUUGUAAACUUCUUUUAUAAAGGAAUAAAGUCGGGUAUGGAUACCCGUUUGCAUGUACUUUAUGAAUAAGGAUCGGCUAACUCCGUGCCAGCAGCCGCGGUAAUACGGAGGAUCCGAGCGUUAUCCGGAUUUAUUGGGUUUAAAGGGAGCGUAGAUGGAUGUUUAAGUCAGUUGUGAAAGUUUGCGGCUCAACCGUAAAAUUGCAGUUGAUACUGGAUAUCUUGAGUGCAGUUGAGGCAGGCGGAAUUCGUGGUGUAGCGGUGAAAUGCUUAGAUAUCACGAAGAACUCCGAUUGCGAAGGCAGCCUGCUAAGCUGCAACUGACAUUGAGGCUCGAAAGUGUGGGUAUCAAACAGGAUUAGAUACCCUGGUAGUCCACACGGUAAACGAUGAAUACUCGCUGUUUGCGAUAUACAGCAAGCGGCCAAGCGAAAGCGUUAAGUAUUCCACCUGGGGAGUACGCCGGCAACGGUGAAACUCAAAGGAAUUGACGGGGGCCCGCACAAGCGGAGGAACAUGUGGUUUAAUUCGAUGAUACGCGAGGAACCUUACCCGGGCUUAAAUUGCAGAUGAAUUACGGUGAAAGCCGUAAGCCGCAAGGCAUCUGUGAAGGUGCUGCAUGGUUGUCGUCAGCUCGUGCCGUGAGGUGUCGGCUUAAGUGCCAUAACGAGCGCAACCCUUGUUGUCAGUUACUAACAGGUUCCGCUGAGGACUCUGACAAGACUGCCAUCGUAAGAUGUGAGGAAGGUGGGGAUGACGUCAAAUCAGCACGGCCCUUACGUCCGGGGCUACACACGUGUUACAAUGGGGGGUACAGAGGGCCGCUACCACGCGAGUGGAUGCCAAUCCCCAAAACCUCUCUCAGUUCGGACUGGAGUCUGCAACCCGACUCCACGAAGCUGGAUUCGCUAGUAAUCGCGCAUCAGCCACGGCGCGGUGAAUACGCUCCCGGGCCUUGUACACACCGCCCGUCAAGCCAUGGGAGCCGGGGGUACCUGAAGUGCGUAACCGCGAGGAGCGCCCUAGGGUAAAACUGGUGACUGGGGC
This 1442-nucleotide ribosomal RNA is filed under the name uncultured organism. RNAcentral describes it as "SSU rRNA". It matches the Rfam family "Bacterial small subunit ribosomal RNA". The record is from RNAcentral.